UAAAGAAUUUCGGUAUGGGAUGGGGAUGCGUUCCAUUAGUUAGUUGGCGGGGUAACGGCCCACCAAGACAACGAUGGAUAGGGGUUCUGAGAGGAAGGUCCCCCACAUUGGAACUGAGACACGGUCCAAACUCCUACGGGAGGCAGCAGUGAGGAAUAUUGGUCAAUGGACGAGAGUCUGAACCAGCCAAGUAGCGUGAAGGAUGACUGCCCUAUGGGUUGUAAACUUCUUUUAUAUGGGAAUAAAGUGUUCCACGUGUGGGAUUUUGUAUGUACCAUAUGAAUAAGGAUCGGCUAACUCCGUGCCAGCAGCCGCGGUAAUACGGAGGAUCCGAGCGUUAUCCGGAUUUAUUGGGUUUAAAGGGAGCGUAGGUGGAUUGUUAAGUCAGUUGUGAAAGUUUGCGGCUCAACCGUAAAAUUGCAGUUGAAACUGGCAGUCUUGAGUACAGUAGAGGUGGGCGGAAUUCGUGGUGUAGCGGUGAAAUGCUUAGAUAUCACGAAGAACUCCGAUUGCGAAGGCAGCUCACUGGACUGCAACUGACACUGAGGCUCGAAAGUGUGGGUAUCAAACAGGAUUAGAUACCCUGGUAGUCCACACAGUAAACGAUGAAUACUCGCUGUUUGCGAUAUACAGUAA
RNAcentral lists this ribosomal RNA (636 nucleotides) under uncultured bacterium. Its description in RNAcentral is "bacterial SSU rRNA". It matches the Rfam family "Bacterial small subunit ribosomal RNA", at positions 202 to 842 of the family's 1533-position model. The record is from RNAcentral.